AACCAGGGGAUUAAGUUGUAUUUUCCGGUAAAAAGACAGUUAGGCAAAAUAACGGGUCUAAAUCACUGCUCUAUCGGGAGGUAGAAUUCGAAGAUAGGCAAAUAUACUUAACAAGACCAACGUGCUGAAGCUGUGAUAGCUUUGAGGGAAACUAGGAUUAGAUACCCUAUUAUUCAUAGAAGUAAAUCAAAAAUUUUUACCAGAGUACUAAGAAUAAAAAAUUUAAAACUCAAAGGGCUUGGCGGUGUUUUAGACUACUUAGGGGAACCUGUCUCAUAAUCGACAAUCCACGCUAGACCUAACCUAUUUUUGCACUCAGUUUGUAUACCGUCGUCGUCAGGUAACUUUUAAGAUAUAAAUAGUUAGCUAAUUAAAUAUUUUAAUUAAGACGUCAGAUCAUGGUGCAGCUAAUAAUAAGGUGUAGAUGGGUUACAAUUAUUAUACUUAUAAUAACGGAUAACAGCUUUAAAAGCAGCUAAGAAGGAGGACUUAAAAGUAAAACAAAUUAUAUAAAUGUCUUGAAUAAAGCUCUGAAACGUGC
This 541-nucleotide ribosomal RNA is filed under the name Cancilla cf. abyssicola BOLD:ACS9770. Its description in RNAcentral is "partial 12S ribosomal RNA". The record is from RNAcentral. Lineage: Eukaryota; Metazoa; Mollusca; Gastropoda; Neogastropoda; Mitridae.